Molecule: non-coding RNA, 1858 nt
Organism: Podarcis lilfordi (Lilford's wall lizard)
Lineage: Eukaryota; Metazoa; Chordata; Lepidosauria; Squamata; Lacertidae
Source: the annotation of a GenBank genome assembly
UCACCCAUCACAGGGAUUUGAAUCGCCGACCUUCUGAUCAGCAAGCCCAAGAGGCGCAUACCUGUGUAUGGAACCUGUAUGGAAUGGAAUAUUCAGUUUCACAUCUCCUAAGAGAACUACCAGACCAUUUUCUACAGGGGCACCUUGCUCUCUCCCUUCAGAGAAAGAUGCCUCGUGUACUUCAUGCUGAAGAUUAUUCUUGUGAAAAAAGGGACAGAAUUAAAAAACAGCUUAAAAAAUGAUGAUACAGAGAACUAAAGACUAGAUCUGUAGUAAAGCAUAACCUUUACAUGUAGAAGGUCCCAGGUUUAAUCCCUGACAUCUCCAAGUGGGGAUGGGCAUGUUUGAAACCCAGUUAGUGUAGACCAUGGGUUCUCAAACUGUGGUCCUUGAGCUUCCUUUAGAACCUCUGUUGUGUGUCUGCAAACAAGCCAUUGCACGCCACCCCAAUGACCCCAAGAUUCCAGAGGUUCCAUGUGUUUUCCCAGGGUUUGGCUUCCUUGGAAUGGGGGAUUGCAGAGAUUGUGGUGUCUUUACGAUACAUGGUUUAUUUACACAUAUAUACAACCUGAGCCUAUGAUGGAGGGGUUCAUGGUGUCAACACCCCAGAAGGUCUUUCUCCUUCCAUAGUCACAGCCUUGGAUUCAAACAGAAAUCAAGCAUGGCUCUCAAUCUCUGGCUUCUGCCUCCUUUUUUUCUUCUAGCCUAGCUUACCCAUGCUCAGCUCUGGCCUGUGUCUUUCUCACUACCAGCCAGGUGAGGGAGAGGCACAGAGCAACUUUCAGACUAACGACCAUGCUUAGGCCCAUUACCAAGAUGCUGGUCUGGCUACUUCAACAAUUGAAUCCUGCAAAUUCACAACAAUACAAUUAGAACUCAUAUAGAAUCUAGCACAGCACAUUACAGUGGUUCCACUGGUGGAGCCAGAGGGGAGAUUAGCAGUUUUUUUGCAGGACCUGGGGAAAACACAGUAGGAGGCCUGGCUUCGGGACCCAGCAUUAAGGAUGGGGCUGCUUCCAUUCGUAGAGCUCACUGCAAAAACUUCCUGUUCACCUAAAAUGUUCAGCUUUGAGGAAAAGGCUGAGGGUGGGGUGUGGGGAGAGAAAGGAAGUUGGCCUUUGCUUCUUUGGCAACCAAACUGAAAAAAUAAAACCCUACAACCCAAACAAAGUGGUUGGCAAGCUUACAAGCUAGCAACAGCUGAACUUUGCUGAUAAGAUUUUCUUUUGAUUUCUUAUAAUUGUUUCCAUCAAGCCAAUCUCCUGAUUAGCUUAUUCUCUUUCUAUACUUGAUGCAUCACUAAGAUUAGCAUCCCUAAUUUGCUCCUUACCAGAACAGAUUUCAGUUGGAGAACUAUAACCUGUCCUUCACAAUUCUGAAUGUGGCGUAAAACAUUCUGAAUAAAGUUUGGAUGAGGAAUGAUGGAGCAGGUUUGCUAGUCAUCUUUUUAUUCCUCUCACUGAAGAGGCAUCUUCCUGAGACGGGAAGAGGUAAAUAACGCAAUAGUUCUUUGGGAAACCAAAAUGUCAACCAUCAUUAAUAAUCCAUACUUUAAAAAGUGCAUCUGGUUUGCAGCACAUUGUAUACGGUGUUAUUAAUCCUCUUUCUCACGCACUGUAGCCAUUGUACAGUAGGAUAGCAAUGUUUACUUGAGGGAAUCUUUGUUUUGAAUCUUCGGCGUAUCUCCUAUUGUUCUGGGAACAUCAUGAGCUGGAAAGGGUGGAUAAAGGCUCCACUGUGCAUCUUUCUCAGUAAAUAAAAUAUGCAGGAUGUUCAUACCGUUUAAAAGGAGAUGGAGCAUAUCUCUGUACUUAAUUGCACUGGCUGUAUUAAAAUAUUUUUUCCUAUGGCUCAUUAG